Molecule: ribosomal RNA, 1674 nt
Filed under: Triticum aestivum (bread wheat)
Lineage: Eukaryota; Viridiplantae; Streptophyta; Magnoliopsida; Poales; Poaceae
Description: partial small subunit ribosomal RNA
Source: RNAcentral
AUGAAGUUUAUGCAUGUUCUGUUAGAACGUGUCGCCGACGGCACCUUGCCGAAGGAUUGGCAUGGUUUCUCGGUUUAUGUGAGCUCGGAGGUUACCGGGGUGGAUCACAACAAACAGAAAAAGCGUAAAGUGUCGAUUAGACUGCGUCGUCCUGGACAUGAAGUCUCUUAUUUGGGCGUACGUGUCUUGUUAGAUGUUGUGGUCAAAGGGCCUUUGCCGAAGGAUUGGCAAGGUUUCUUGGUUGGGUUUGCUGAGUCUCUUAAAGAUAGGUCAUACUGUGGCCCUACGGAUUUCUUAUGCCGGUAUUGUGGUGCCUCCUUCUGGUUUGCUGAGUGUUCUAAGUCCAGGUCGUCCUGGACACAACGUAAGAUGGUUCACAAUCGCUGUUGUAAAGGCGCUAAGGUCUAUAUUCCUCCCUUUAAGGAUCCCCCGGCGUAUGUCCGGGAGCUCCUUCGAUUCGAUGGUACUUCUCAUGCUAAAAAAUUCAUCCGGGCUAUACGUGAGUACAAUUGUAUGUUCGCUUUUACUUCGAUGGGUGCUACUGUUGAACGCUCUUUUGGUGGCAGUCGUGGGCCUAAGAUCUUCAAGAUCAGUGGUCAAGUGUCUCAUCAUAUUGGUUCGCUGGUGCCCAGCGGUGAUGAUGCUCCUAAGUUUGCUGAGUUAUACAUACAUGACCCCGCUAAUGAGAUUAGACAUAGGAUGAAUGCUUUAAAUCCGGACGAUAAGCCUACUGGGGGGGAGGGGGUCGACGAGAGUAUUGUGGUUGGCCUUAGAGAUAUGCUUAAUGAGUCUAACCCAUUGGUAUAUACCUUUAGGGAGGCGAGUAAGAUGAUAGAGGAUCUUGGUGAUGAACCUAUCGAGGAUAUCUCGAUUCGUAUUAUAGGGCCUUCGGAAGGUGAUAGUCAACAAUUUAGCUUGCCUACAACUACUGGGCUUGCUGCUUUGGUUGUCGGUCGUGGGUUCGCGUUAGAGGCGUCUUCUCGAGAUAUUGUUGUCCGCAGUCAUUCUGAUGGUUUGCAGCAGAUACCUUCUCUGAACACUGCGUUCAUUCCUCUGCAAUAUCCGUUGCUUUUUCCUUAUGGUGAAAGGGGGUUCCAGAUUGAUGUUCCUCACCUGAUUGUUCCUGAAGAAGGUGAGGAUGAUGGGACCGUAGAUCCUGAUCCUGCACCUGGAAGUCCGUCUGUUGAGGCGUCUUCUUCAUAUCCUUCUGGGGGUGGUGACUCGGACACGAAUAGUCGGAAUAGGAUGACCAUGCAAGAUUACUAUCUUUUUAUGUGCCAUUACAAAGGUGAUGGGUGUGUGGAUGGCGACGCUGUUGGAAAGAGGACCAUUGUGCCCUCUAGUCACAUGGGUGGUCGUCGUUAUUUUAAUGAGAAUUUCCAUGAUGGCCUUGCCGUUUGUCGGGUGCAUGGUGCACCAGAUGUAUUUACCACUUUCACUUGUAAUCCCAAGUGGCCUGAGAUCACCGCUGCAUUGGAGCCAGGGCAGGCGUCUUCUGAUAGGACAGACGUUGUUGUUAGGGUCUAUCACAUGAAGCUUGCCGAGUAUUUGGACGAGAUCAAGUCAGGCCGGGCUUUUGGCCCCAUUAAAGUUGGUAUUAUGUGCUGCUGUGCUUUGUGUGUGGUCGGUGUUUCUUACCGGCCUUCUACUUAUUUUGCUUGCUGGUCUGGCUGA